This 253-nucleotide ribosomal RNA is filed under the name uncultured bacterium. RNAcentral's name for it is "partial 16S ribosomal RNA". It matches the Rfam family "Bacterial small subunit ribosomal RNA", at positions 524 to 776 of the family's 1533-position model. The record is from RNAcentral.
UACAGAGGCCUCGAGCGUUAAUCGGAAUCACUGGGCUUAAAGGGUGCGUAGGCGGCGCUGCAAGUGCCUUGUGAAAUCCCAUCGCUUAACGAUGGAACUGCUCGGUAGACUGCAGUGCUUGAGGUUGGUAGGGGCUGCCGGAACUCUAGGUGGAGCGGUGAAAUGCGUAGAUAUCGGGAGGAACACCAGUGGCGAAGGCGGUUGCCUGGAGCUUUGCUGACGCUGAGGCGCGAAAGCGUGGGGAGCGAUCCGG